RNAcentral lists this ribosomal RNA (173 nucleotides) under uncultured bacterium. RNAcentral describes it as "partial 16S ribosomal RNA". It matches the Rfam family "Bacterial small subunit ribosomal RNA", at positions 1320 to 1500 of the family's 1533-position model. The record is from RNAcentral.
ACGAAGCUGGAUUCGCUAGUAAUCGCGCAUCAGCCACGGCGCGGUGAAUACGUUCCCGGGCCUUGUGCACACCGCCCGUCAAGCCAUGGGAGCCGGGGGUACCUGAAGUGCGUAACCGCGAGGAGCGCCCUAGGGUAAAACUGGUGACUGGGGCUAAGUCGUAACAAGGUAGC